AACGAACGCUGGCGGCAUGCCUAACACAUGCAAGUCGAACGAGACCUUCGGGUCUAGUGGCGCACGGGUGCGUAACGCGUGGGAACCUGCCCUUAGGUUCGGAAUAACUCCCCGAAAGGGGUGCUAAUACCGGAUAAUGUCUUCGGACCAAAGAUUUAUCGCCUUUGGAUGGGCCCGCGUUGGAUUAGCUAGUUGGUAGGGUAAAAGCCUACCAAGGCGACGAUCCAUAGCUGGUCUGAGAGGAUGAUCAGCCACACUGGGACUGAGACACGGCCCAGACGCUGCCGGGAGGCAGCAGUGGGGAAUGUGGGAAAAUGGGAGAAGGCGUUAACACCUCUUGCCGCGGGGGUGAUAAAGACCUGAGGGUGAUAAUACGCUUUGACCAGCGAUGAUAAAGAAGGCGCGGGGAGAAUAGGCACCGCAUACCUCCGAG
RNAcentral lists this ribosomal RNA (433 nucleotides) under uncultured bacterium. RNAcentral describes it as "partial 16S ribosomal RNA". It matches the Rfam family "Bacterial small subunit ribosomal RNA", at positions 29 to 507 of the family's 1533-position model. The record is from RNAcentral.